Molecule: ribosomal RNA, 253 nt
Filed under: uncultured bacterium
Lineage: Bacteria
Description: partial 16S ribosomal RNA
Rfam family: Bacterial small subunit ribosomal RNA
Source: RNAcentral
UACGUAGGGCGCAAGCGUUGUCCGGAAUUAUUGGGCGUAAAGAGCUCGUAGGCGGUUUGUCGCGUCUGUCGUGAAAGCUUGGGGCUUAACCCCAAGUCUGCGGUGGAUACGGGCAGACUAGAGGCAGGUAGGCGAGAACGGAAUUCCCGGUGUAGCGGUGAAAUGCGCAGAUAUCGGGAGGAACACCGGUGGCGAAGGCGGUUCUCUGGGCCUGUACUGACGCUGAGGAGCGAAAGCGUGGGGAGCGAACAGG